Hevea brasiliensis (rubber tree) is the source of this 220-nucleotide long non-coding RNA. RefSeq lists it as uncharacterized. The transcript is spliced from 3 exons. The record is from RefSeq and is a predicted model, not a curated record. NCBI's taxonomy places the organism in Eukaryota, Viridiplantae, Streptophyta, Magnoliopsida, Malpighiales, Euphorbiaceae.
UCUGUCGCAUCGAUUGGAACGCCUGGCUCGACUUGGAGGAGGCGACGCCUCCGGCCGGAGAGGCGAGAGGCGACGCAGGCGAGAGGCGACGCCUCUUCACAGCAACGAGCAGAGACACUUUUCUCCUCAACCUCACGAACGCUUUUCUCCUCAACGGCUCAACCUCGACUUCACGACGACAACAGAUUAUAAAUGGGUGAUAAGAAUAAUACAUCUGGAG